This 65-nucleotide transfer RNA is filed under the name Systropus sp. 2 YXA-2022a. RNAcentral describes it as "tRNA-Phe". Lineage: Eukaryota; Metazoa; Arthropoda; Insecta; Diptera; Bombyliidae. The record is from RNAcentral.
GUUUAAAUAGCUUAUAUUAAUAGAGCAGAAUAUUGAAGAUAUUCAGGAGAGACAUUCUUUAAAUA